This 767-nucleotide ribosomal RNA is filed under the name uncultured Actinomycetes bacterium. RNAcentral describes it as "bacterial SSU rRNA". It matches the Rfam family "Bacterial small subunit ribosomal RNA", at positions 8 to 786 of the family's 1533-position model. The record is from RNAcentral. Lineage: Bacteria; Bacillati; Actinomycetota; Actinomycetes.
AGAGUUUGAUCCUGGCUCAGGACGAACGCUGGCGGCGUGCUUAACACAUGCAAGUCGAACGAUGAUGCUGGAGCUUGCUCCAGUUGAUUAGUGGCGAACGGGUGAGUAACACGUGAGCAAUCUGCCCUUGACUCUGGGAUAACUGCGGGAAACUGUAGCUAAUACCGGAUACUUUCACCGGAAGGCAUCUUCUGGUGAUGAAAGAAUUUCGGUCAGGGAUGAGCUCGCGGCCUAUCAGCUUGUUGGUGAGGUAACGGCUCACCAAGGCGACGACGGGUAGCCGGCCUGAGAGGGUGACCGGCCACACUGGGACUGAGACACGGCCCAGACUCCUACGGGAGGCAGCAGUGGGGAAUAUUGCACAAUGGGCGCAAGCCUGAUGCAGCAACGCCGCGUGAGGGAUGAAGGCCUUCGGGUUGUAAACCUCUUUUAGCAGGGAAGAAGCGAAAGUGACGGUACCUGCAGAAAAAGCACCGGCUAACUACGUGCCAGCAGCCGCGGUAAUACGUAGGGUGCAAGCGUUGUCCGGAAUUAUUGGGCGUAAAGAGCUCGUAGGCGGUUUGUCACGUCUGCUGUGAAAAUCCAAGGCCCAACCUUGGACUUGCAGUGGGUACGGGCAGGCUAGAGUGCGGUAGGGGAGAUGGGAAUUCCUGGUGUAGCGGUGGAAUGCGCAGAUAUCAGGAGGAACACCAAUGGCGAAGGCACAUCUCUGGGCCGUAACUGACGCUGAGGAGCGAAAGCGUGGGGAGCAAACAGGAUUAGAUACC